Lontra canadensis (Northern American river otter) is the source of this 328-nucleotide long non-coding RNA. RefSeq lists it as uncharacterized. Lineage: Eukaryota; Metazoa; Chordata; Mammalia; Carnivora; Mustelidae. The transcript is spliced from 2 exons. The record is from RefSeq and is a predicted model, not a curated record.
ACGAGUCGGGAGUCAGGCUGUGAACUGAAAUAGAUCCAAAGGUUCUUCCUGGGUACCCCGGAAGAGCAGUGGUGCUGAUGGCUAACCGAUACUGGGCCCAGGAGCAGCAGCAUCACAUGCAAGGACCAGGUCGUCCCCACCUGGGACAGGAACGCUCCCAAGGUCCGGAGUGGUAUCGGGAAGCCAACUUGACCUUGGGCGACCUCUGAGAGCCGGGGAUCCACCAGCAAGAAAUGCAGUAUAUGAAUUUCCUGGGACUGCUGGAGCAAAUCACCACAAACUGGGCCACUUAAAAUAAAAAGAAUCUGUUCUUUCAAGGUUCUGGAAA